GGAACGUGCCUUUAGGUUCGGAAUAACUCAGGGAAACUUGAGCUAAUACCGGAUACGCCCUUUUGGGGAAAGGUUGACUGCCGAAGGAUCGGCCCGCGUCUGAUUAGCUUGUUGGUGGGGUAACGGCCCACCAAGGCGAUGAUAGGUAGCCGGCCUGAGAGGGUGGACGGCCACAAGGGGACUGAGAUACGGCCCUUACUCCUACGGGAGGCAGCAGUGGGGAAUAUUGGACA
RNAcentral lists this ribosomal RNA (233 nucleotides) under Ditylum brightwellii. RNAcentral's name for it is "partial Bacterial small subunit ribosomal RNA". It matches the Rfam family "Bacterial small subunit ribosomal RNA", at positions 121 to 370 of the family's 1533-position model. The record is from RNAcentral. Lineage: Eukaryota; Bacillariophyta; Thalassiosirophyceae; Lithodesmiales; Lithodesmiaceae.